Pelobates cultripes (western spadefoot toad) is the source of this 548-nucleotide non-coding RNA. NCBI's taxonomy places the organism in Eukaryota, Metazoa, Chordata, Amphibia, Anura, Pelobatidae. The record is from the annotation of a GenBank genome assembly.
GUCAACUUAUCUUGAGCCCAUGCACGGAGUUGUUCACAAAAUGUGAUACCAGACUGAUAAUCCGUGUCUGUAGUGAGACGGGCAUCAUCAAAACUCUUUUCCAUUAUGGGCCAGUAAGCAUCCCCUGCCUUAAUUUCACACAGACUAAACAAAUCACGCCAUGCUGCAGAGUAAGUUUUACGGAUUUGAACAAUCCGACGGAAAAAGGGCAUGGGCUGUUUCUCAGGGUCAGGGAGUGAGUGUACUAGUGUUGCAGCUUGGGACGGGUUGAAGGUAACAUACAUUAAAGGGGCACCCUCCUGAUCAUGCUGGGUACUGCAAGCACCUGCUAUGGCAAUGUGAGGCAGAUUAGUCGGGGUCUGUGGAGACUGCACCCCCUGGACACUACCAUCAGCAGGGGGAAUGGGAAUCUGUUGGCUGGAUACACGAGCCAUGUCAGGAAGAACUGAAAUCGGUCCAACAGUAGUACUGGCCGCAGGGUGACUAACUGUAGGAGUAAUGUGGACCGAAUCAAGUUGUGAGGCAGGGGGAGAAGUGACUGAUGUAGC